AUAUCACAUACUGAGUUAAUAAAUACACACGAGCACAUGAUGUCAUUGUGUGAUAUCAGGUUUUACAGUCUGGAUCACCUCCAAGGGCGGGCGCAGGGUUUUUCUGAGGAAUUUUCUUGCCUGAAGUUAAAGUUCCACUUCAAAGAAUAGGCUACGCUUUUUGGGGGGGUCUAGAAAGCCAGUGUGUAUAUAAGUUUUAUACCCAUUUUAGCUAAUCCUAUAUAAAAGGUAUCACACAAACAAAAUCUGUUCAUGCAUAAAGAAUAUCGAAGCAAGAGAGAGAGACAGUAACAUUUUCAGAAGCGAAAUACGAUAGUGAUGGGAGCCACAGCGACGGGUCUGUCAAAGGAAAAGGGCGAAGUGGAACUGAAGGACGUGCUAGUGAGCAGCGUGGAAUGGGAACGUCCGGACUUGUCUGGAAGCGAAGCAGAAGCGAGAAAAGGAGAGACAGGGGUGCAAGAACCAGACGUUGUAAUGAUGUCUUACAUUUAUAUUGUAACUCUACGCCUUUAAGGUUUGAGCGGUUGGGAGACUGACGUCGGACCCCUCCUUUCAACGGAGAAGAUUUAGUCCGUGUAGAUUUGAUUAUUGAGUUUUCAUACUGUGAUAUGUAUAGUGCUGUAUAAAUUCCAAUUGCGUAUUAUUUUGUUUUGUGUAAUCUGUACAGAAAUGCUGUACUGAUUUUGAUUUCCAAAUAAAAUGUAAUGUGGACCACUUUA
This is a long non-coding RNA of Acipenser ruthenus (sterlet), 719 nucleotides long. RefSeq lists it as uncharacterized. The record is from RefSeq and is a predicted model, not a curated record. NCBI's taxonomy places the organism in Eukaryota, Metazoa, Chordata, Actinopteri, Acipenseriformes, Acipenseridae. The transcript has 3 exons.